RNAcentral lists this ribosomal RNA (468 nucleotides) under uncultured bacterium. Its description in RNAcentral is "partial 16S ribosomal RNA". It matches the Rfam family "Bacterial small subunit ribosomal RNA", at positions 28 to 507 of the family's 1533-position model. The record is from RNAcentral.
GACGAACGCUGGCGGCGUGCUUAACACAUGCAAGUCGAACGGAAAGGCCCUGCUUUUGUGGGGUGCUCGAGUGGCGAACGGGUGAGUAACACGUGAGUAACCUGCCCUUGACUUUGGGAUAACUUCAGGAAACUGGGGCUAAUACCGGAUAGGAGCUCCUGCUGCAUGGUGGGGGUUGGAAAGUUUCGGCGGUUGGGGAUGGACUCGCGGCUUAUCAGCUUGUUGGUGGGGUAGUGGCUUACCAAGGCUUUGACGGGUAGCCGGCCUGAGAGGGUGACCGGCCAACUUGGGAACGGGGAUACGCCCCAGAUCCUAAGGGGGGGAGGAGUGGGGAAAAAUGCCACAUGGGCGGAAGCCUGAUGGCGCAACGCCGGGUGCGGGAUGGCGGCCUUCCGGUUGUAAACCGCUUUUGCCUGUGAACAAGCGUGAGUGGAGGUAAUGGGUAAAGAAGCAACGGGUAAACAAGUG